Long non-coding RNA from Lagopus muta (rock ptarmigan), 2489 nucleotides. RefSeq lists it as uncharacterized. The transcript has 7 exons. The record is from RefSeq and is a predicted model, not a curated record. Lineage: Eukaryota; Metazoa; Chordata; Aves; Galliformes; Phasianidae.
ACUAUUUAACCACACCCAGAAAAAAGGUGACCUCUGGAAAAUGUGCCUUGGGAAAUGAAGGUCUUAAACUGACUUUUAUGGUAAAAAUGCAGACCAGAAGUUCCCAAGCAUUUCCAGGAUACCAGUGCAUAUGUUUUUAUUGUGACUGGUAUACAUGAUGAAAAGAACACUCUUUACCCAUCACCUUUCAAAGCUGCUGAGCAUGAUGAAUACUCACACAAACCAGGUGAUGGAAAGUACCACAGUAACAGCGGGGGCAGCAAAGUGAAGUGUUUAGCUGCAGCAAAUGAGGACACAGAAAUGAAGGAAAGGAGCUGCUUACCUUUGGAAGGCCUCAGUAUUUUAUUUAGGACAUCUGUAUGGGAACUGCUGAGUCACGGCCUGAAGCUCUGAUUGAUCACCUGAGGCGAGCCAUGAGUCAGCCAGAGGAGCACAGGUGAAGGCAAUUCCUAGACCUAUUUAAGAGCUGGCUACCAGUGGGGAAGGGUCUCUUUUGGAGAUCUGCUCUGUUGGUGUUUUGUGAGUGAGCCCAGGAUAGGGGUGUCCAGGUGGUUUGAGAAACUCCAUAGUUUGGAAAGGCAAAAGACUCCAAAGUGUCAAAGUGACUCCUCAAGUAUUCCUUGUCCUUUCUAGGUUGAGCAGUUUUAAGUACUCUGAUAAUACUUUUGUUGUGAAGACAUGACAGUGAAUGUAUUUUAACUAGUUGUUCAGAUGAACAGAUGGGUAAACACCACUGAACGCAACCAAGACUUCUGAAACUGCAUGCUAUUUUAUCUUUUUACAUAUCAUACUGUUGAAACAUUCAUAAGCUCAGACUGCCUCAUAUGUAGCUCAACAGCUUUCUCAGGUGUAUGUAACAACCCUUUGAUUUUUAGCAUGGAUGUUUGUGUAACCCCAACACUUCAAAUUGGAAAACAGCAGAUUCAGAAAUGCAUCCUGAGAAAAAUAACAUACUCCAUUACAGCAAGAAAUCCUCUAAAAAGCUCAUCACAGGAAUUGUGAUUUUCAGGAAGAGGAUCAGAAAUACGCUUAUUCAAGAUGACAGUGUGAACAAGACCUUCUAGAAAUGAAAGUUUUGUGAGAAGUACAGAAACAGCUUCAUCAAAAACUACUACAAGAUUGAGGAACAUUGCAUUGCAUGUGGGACAAAAUCUUCUUGCAUCAACUGCUAGUGACAACCCUUCAUCAGAGCUCUUUCUAGUGUAGUUAUGUUGUUUGCUAAUUUUUUUUUAUCUAUUAUCUCUUGAAUAAGUGAAAACUUCUACACGAUACAGAGAAGUAAGAAUUGGGGUGGAAAACAACAUUCUCAUGAUCACCACUACCUGAAAAUGAAUUUAUGUGUUUUUCCAGUUAACCCUACAGGCAGCUCAGCACCAUAUCAUUGUUCAGUCACUCCUCCCACCCAGUGAGAUGGUGAAGAGAAUCAGAAGAAAAAUCAGAUAGAACACGUGGGUUGGGAUAAAAUACUAUUUACUAAGACAAAAAAAAAAAAGUAAAAUAGUAAUAUUAAUGAUAGCAAUACAUAUUUAUAAAACAAAUAAUGCACAACAGAAUUGCUCACUAAUUGCCAACUGAUGGGCGGUCAGUCUAUGAGCAGUACUUGCCCCUCAGCCAGCUUCCCACUGUGGAUUUUAUUGUUUUUUUUAUUUAUUUAUUUUAUUUGCAGAGUGACACAUGGUAUGGAAUAUCCCUUUGGCCAGCUGAGGUCAACUGUCCUUGUUCUGCCCCCUCCAUCUCCUUGUAUCUCCUCAGCCUUCCUCAGUGUCAGGAAAGUACAAGAAGCAGAAGCAUUUCGGUCCCAGCAACCACAGGCAACCCUACAGCUUUGGGGAGGCAACUGGAAAGCUGCCUGAUGGAAAGGGAUGUUGGUGUACUGAUGGACAAAUGGCUGAAUAUGAGCCAGCAGUGUGCCCAGGUGACCAAGAAAGCCAAUGGCAUCCUGGCUUGGAUCAGGAAUUUGGAGUGGUGAGCAGGACCAGGGAAGUUAACCUGCCCCUGGACUCGGCACUGGUGAGGCCUCACCUCGAGUGCUGUGUUCAGUUUUGGGCACCUGCAUACAGAAAGGACAUGGAGGUGCUGGAGCAGGUCCAGAGAAGGGCAACAGGGCUGGGGAAGGGCUUGGAGAAUAUGGCCUGUGAGGAGAGACUGAAGGAACUGGGGCUGUUCAGUCUGGGGAAAGGAAGGCUGAGGGGAGACUUUGCUGCUCUCUUCAAAUACCUGAAAGGUGAUGCCACGGUUUAUUAUUUUUGUUAUCAGUAUUCCCCAUCAUAACAUCACUUAAAACAUGGAAUUGAAGAGUUAAUACUCCAGUUCAGUGGACUGACAACUUUGCAGACAUCUCCCUAGUCUUCCUCUUUUGGGCCAGUGGUCCUGCGGGUCUGCUGUUCCUCCAUCACAGACACGAAUUGAUCUAGAUAACUCUGUGACAGCUGAUUGCAACAAGAGCAGGGUUGGUCUCUUCUCACUGGUGACAGGUGACAGAAUGAGGG